GAGGAUAUAGCUCAGUUGGUAGAGUGCUUGCCUAGCAUGCACAAGAUCCUGGGUUCAAUCCCCAGCACCACCA
This 73-nucleotide transfer RNA is filed under the name Ictidomys tridecemlineatus (thirteen-lined ground squirrel). Its description in RNAcentral is "Spermophilus tridecemlineatus (thirteen-lined ground squirrel) tRNA". It matches the Rfam family "tRNA". From Rfam's summary of the family: Transfer RNA (tRNA) molecules are approximately 80 nucleotides in length. The record is from Rfam by way of RNAcentral. Lineage: Eukaryota; Metazoa; Chordata; Mammalia; Rodentia; Sciuridae. RNAcentral also lists the same sequence under 1 other name.